This 487-nucleotide ribosomal RNA is filed under the name uncultured bacterium. RNAcentral's name for it is "bacterial SSU rRNA". It matches the Rfam family "Bacterial small subunit ribosomal RNA", at positions 50 to 504 of the family's 1533-position model. The record is from RNAcentral.
UAUACAUGCAAGUCGAGCGAGCGGAACCAACAGAUUUACUUCGGUAAUGACGUUGGGAAAGCGAGCGGCGGAUGGGUGAGUAACACGUGGGGAACCUGCCCCUAAGUCUGGGAUACCAUUUGGAAACAGGUGCUAAUACCGGAUAAUAAAGCAGAUCGCAUGAUCAGCUUUUGAAAGGCGGCGUAAGCUGUCGCUAAGGGAUGGCCCCGCGGUGCAUUAGCUAGUUGGUAAGGUAACGGCUUACCAAGGCGACGAUGCAUAGCCGAGUUGAGAGACUGAUCGGCCACAUUGGGACUGAGACACGGCCCAAACUCCUACGGGAGGCAGCAGUAGGGAAUCUUCCACAAUGGACGCAAGUCUGAUGGAGCAACGCCGCGUGAGUGAAGAAGGUUUUCGGAUCGUAAAGCUCUGUUGUUGGUGAAGAAGGAUAGAGGCAGUAACUGGUCUUUAUUUGACGGUAAUCAACCAGAAAGUCACGGCUAACUAC